RNAcentral lists this transfer RNA (74 nucleotides) under Brassica napus (rape). It matches the Rfam family "tRNA". From Rfam's summary of the family: Transfer RNA (tRNA) molecules are approximately 80 nucleotides in length. Their secondary structure includes four short double-helical elements and three loops (D, anti-codon, and T loops). The record is from Rfam by way of RNAcentral. Lineage: Eukaryota; Viridiplantae; Streptophyta; Magnoliopsida; Brassicales; Brassicaceae.
GGCCUAUUAGCUCAGUUGGUUAGAGCGUCAUGCUAAUAACGCGAAGGUCACAGGUUCGAUACCUGUAUAGGCCA